AGAGUUUGAUCCUGGCUCAGAUUGAACGCUGGCGGAAUGCUUUACACAUGCAAGUCGAGCGGCAGCGCGGGGCAACCUGGCGGCGAGCGGCGAACGGGUGAGUAAUGCAUCGGAACCUGCCCUGGGGUGGGGGAUAACCGAUGGAAACGUCGGCUAAUACCGCAUACGUCCUGAGGGAGAAAGAUUUAUCGCCCUGGGAGGGGCCCGCGUCGGAUUAGGUAGUUGGUGGGGUAACGGCCUACCAAGCCGAUGAUCCGUAGCUGGUCUGAGAGGAUGAUCAGCCACACUGGGACUGAGACACGGCCCAGACUCCUACGGGAGGCAGCAGUGGGGAAUAUUGGACAAUGGGCGCAAGCCUGAUCCAGCAAUGCCGCGUGAGUGAUGAAGGCCUUAGGGUUGUAAAGCUCUUUCGGCGGGGACGAUGAUGACGGUACCCGCAGAAGAAGCCCCGGCUAACUUCGUGCCAGCAGCCGCGGUAAUACGAAGGGGGCAAGCGUUGUUCGGAAUUACUGGGCGUAAAGGGCGCGCAGGCGGCCAAGCAAGUCAGAUGUGAAAGCCCCGGGCUCAACCUGGGAAUAGCAUUUGGGACUGUUUGGCUAGAGAUCGGGAGAGGAGGGUGGAAUUCCCAGUGUAGAGGUGAAAUUCGUAGAUAUUGGGAAGAACACCAGUGGCGAAGGCGGCUCUCUGGACCGAUACUGACGCUGAGGCGCGAAAGCGUGGGGAGCAAACAGGAUUAGAUACCCUAGUAGUCC
RNAcentral lists this ribosomal RNA (752 nucleotides) under uncultured bacterium. RNAcentral's name for it is "bacterial SSU rRNA". It matches the Rfam family "Bacterial small subunit ribosomal RNA", at positions 8 to 796 of the family's 1533-position model. The record is from RNAcentral.